This 113-nucleotide ribosomal RNA is filed under the name Otolemur garnettii (small-eared galago). The record is from RNAcentral. Lineage: Eukaryota; Metazoa; Chordata; Mammalia; Primates; Galagidae.
AUCUAUAGCCAUACCACCCUGAAUAGGUCCAAUCUCUUCUGAUCUCAGAAGCUAAGGUGCUUCAGGCCUGGUUGGUACUUGGGUGGGAGAUUCUGGGAAAUCAUGUGCAGGUA